Small nuclear RNA from Nicotiana attenuata, 158 nucleotides. It matches the Rfam family "U1 spliceosomal RNA". Rfam says of the family: U1 is a small nuclear RNA (snRNA) component of the spliceosome (involved in pre-mRNA splicing). Its 5' end forms complementary base pairs with the 5' splice junction, thus defining the 5' donor site of an intron. The record is from Rfam. NCBI's taxonomy places the organism in Eukaryota, Viridiplantae, Streptophyta, Magnoliopsida, Solanales, Solanaceae.
AUACUUACCUAGACGAGGUCAAUGGACGAACGAUAAGACUCAUGGCCUAGGUUGGGGACUUCCAUUGCACUUUGGAGGUGCCCGCCUAUGGUCGACCCAAGUGUCUGAACCUACGUCAUAAUUUGUGGUAGUUGGGGCUUACGUUCGCGGGCCCCUAC